AUUGAACGCUGGCGGCAUGCUUUACACAUGCAAGUCGAACGGUAACAGGCCUUCGGGUGCUGACGAGUGGCGAACGGGUGAGUAAUGCAUCGGAACGUACCCAGAGGUGGGGGAUAACGCAGCGAAAGCUGUGCUAAUACCGCAUGUGAUCUGAGGAUGAAAGCGGGGGACCGAGCAGCAAUGUUUGGCCUCGCGCCUUUGUGGCGGCCGAUGUCGGAUUAGCUAGUUGGUGGGGUAAAGGCCUACCAAGGCGACGAUCCGUAGCUGGUCUGAGAGGACGACCAGCCACACUGGGACUGAGACACGGCCCAGACUCCUACGGGAGGCAGCAGUGGGGAAUUUUGGACAAUGGGCGCAAGCCUGAUCCAGCAAUGCCGCGUGCGGGAAGAAGGCCUUCGGGUUGUAAACCGCUUUUGGCAGGAACGAAACGGUGUCCGCUAAUACCGGGCGCUAAUGACGGUACCUGCAGAAUAAGCACCGGCUAACUACGUG
RNAcentral lists this ribosomal RNA (492 nucleotides) under uncultured bacterium. RNAcentral's name for it is "partial 16S ribosomal RNA". It matches the Rfam family "Bacterial small subunit ribosomal RNA", at positions 30 to 507 of the family's 1533-position model. The record is from RNAcentral.